CUUCCCUAAACCUGUUGAUUCAAUUGAAUACCAGAUAAAGAGGCAUCAAACGCUCGUUGAUUCGCAAGAAUACCGAACGAUUGGAAAAACGGCACAAAUAAUAUUAAUCUCCAAAAACUACUGAAACCCUAAAGAAUUAGAGUAUAAAUAUGGUUCACAAAACCCUAGGGCCCGGGACAAACCGGGUUAAAAGAAUAAAUUACGAAACCUUAAGAAAACAAGCCCAAAAGCAGGCCCAAAAUACUAAACGGACCAAAAAUCAUACUUAGAAGCGUUUUUUAGCGUUUUCCUGGCCCGGAAAAUGAUUACAUUUUAAGAGGAAAACGGAGUUACGCAGCAAAAGUUAUGGCCGAUUAAUGUUUACCGGUCACACGGACAUAACGACGGCCCCGGGUCUCCAAGUAAUCUUCAGCCUUGCUAUCUGCAUCA
This 429-nucleotide long non-coding RNA is filed under the name Actinidia chinensis (golden kiwifruit). RNAcentral's name for it is "long non-coding RNA (ACHI_LNC007965)". The record is from RNAcentral. Lineage: Eukaryota; Viridiplantae; Streptophyta; Magnoliopsida; Ericales; Actinidiaceae.